UUCAGAUAUCAAUGUCGUUUGGUUUAAUUUGGUUAGGGUUCGAGGCUACGACUGUUGAAGAAGCAAGUACACGUACGACAGUUUUUUUUAUAGACCUCAAUAUUUUAAUGAAAGUUUAAAAGAAGAUGUGGUACAAUUUUCAUUGAAAUCGCUAUCACCAAAGAUGAAAUCAAUAGCAGUUCACUUAUACGGUCAUCACCAAUGAGCAAAACCUAUAAGGUAUGGUAAGUUCUCAAGGUUCCAGCAUUACAAACUGUAAAGCAAUUCUAGCGAGUAUUGAUGUUAAAAAAAGAUGACAAGAGAACAAACAUG
Molecule: long non-coding RNA, 312 nt
Filed under: Mytilus galloprovincialis (Mediterranean mussel)
Lineage: Eukaryota; Metazoa; Mollusca; Bivalvia; Mytilida; Mytilidae
Source: RNAcentral